CAGUCGCCGCGGUAAUACAGAUGGUGCAAGCGUUAAUCGGAAUUACUGGGCGUAAAGCGCGCGUAGGUGGUUUGUUAAGUUGGAUGUGAAAGCCCCGGGCUCAACCUGGGAACUGCAUCCAAAACUGGCAAGCUAGAGUACGGUAGAGGGUGGUGGAAUUUCCUGUGUAGCGGUGAAAUGCGUAGAUAUAGGAAGGAACACCAGUGGCGAAGGCGACCACCUGGACUGAUACUGACACUGAGGUGCGAAAGCGUGGGGAGCAAACAGGAUUAGAUACCCCUGUAGUCCCUGUCUCUUAUAC
RNAcentral lists this ribosomal RNA (301 nucleotides) under uncultured bacterium. RNAcentral describes it as "partial 16S ribosomal RNA". It matches the Rfam family "Bacterial small subunit ribosomal RNA", at positions 509 to 807 of the family's 1533-position model. The record is from RNAcentral.